UUAGGGCAACCUGACACACAUGAGUAUUAAUAGCCACGUUUACCUGUACGAGUGGACUGCCAAGGUUGUUUCGCAGAUCCACCAAGUUGGCGGAUCGUUCCCCUGGCAUGGCAUUAGUCUAUCAACAUGUACCACCCUAGGUGUAUUGUCUGGACACUCUUGGAACCUAAAGCAUUUUUACAGAUGUAACAAAAGAAGGCUGAUCCAAGACCUGCAUCUCAAGGAUGUACGUCCGUAUAUUCUCUUCAGCGAUACGAACACAUUUACAUUUUCACAAAAUAGAUGCAGCUGUAUCUGUGAGAUACUAUGCAGGUCGUUCAAGAGCAUAUGUGCCAUAUGGAAAAAAACAGGAGAAGGACAUCAUGGAUCAAGACUCGGAAAGCAGAAUGUUGGCUACAUGGAACCAGUACGAGACAAGACCCUUAACUGGGUCCGAUCUAUUCCAUUCACUGCCAAAGACUCAGUGUUCAACAUAGGCGACUAUGGCGCAGCUGAUGGCUCUGCUUCCAUGGUCAUCAUUGGGCAGAUGUUGGCAACUCUGAAAGAUCAGCACGGUCCAGAGGCACAAUUCCAGGUCAUCUAUGAAGACUCGGAAGUGAAUGAUUUCCUGAACCUCCUUCAUACCUUCUGGAAAUGGACAACGUCUAUGUUCUCGCUGCUGGGACAAACUUCUACAGACAAUGUGUACCUUCAAAUUCAAUGCAUUUCAUCAUGAAUAUGGUCGCUGCUCACUGGCUGUCGAAGACUCCAACAAACUUUAAUGACUCAAUUUACAAAUACCCUGAGAGUAGUGCUGAGGAGAAGAUGGCUUUAGAAAAAACAGUCUGAGAUCGACUUCGAGACCUUCUUACUUUUGAGAAGUCGAAAAUUGGAAAAGGGAGGCCUGCUUGUUCUUGGUGUAGGAUGUGAGACUAUAGACAAGAGCAGUGGAAAAAUCAAGUAUCUUCUUGAGACGUUCGUAACGUUACUCACUAAGAUAUAACAAAAGAAGACUGACGUAAGACCUGCAUCUCAAGGAUGUCCGUCCGUAUACUCUCUUCAGCGAUACGAACACAUUUACAUAUUCAUAAAAUACAUACAGCUGUAUCUGUGAGAUACUAUGCAGGUCGCCCAAGAGCAUAUGUGCCAUAUGGAAAAACAGGAGACGGAAAUUAUGGAUCAACACUCGGAAAGCAGAAUGCUGGCUACAUGGAACCAGUACGAGACAAGAUCCUUAACUUGGUCAAAUCCAUUACAUUCACUGCCAAAGACUCAGUGUUCAACAUAGGCGACUAUGGCGCGGCUGAUGGCUCUGCUUCGAUGGCCAUCAUUGGGCAGAUGUUGGCAACUCUGAAAGAUCAGCACGGUCCAGAGGCACAAUUCCAGGUCAUCUAUGAAGACUCGGAAGUGAAUGAUUUCAAUUCCCUGUUCAAACGUAUGUCAGGAAUCAUUCCCGAACCUCCUUCAUACCUUCUGGAAAUGGACAAUGUCUAUGUUCUCGCUGCUGGGACCAACUUCUACAAACAAUGUGUACCUUCAAAUUCAAUGCAUUUCAUCAUGAGUUUGGUCGCUGUUCACUGGCUGUCGAAGACUCCAACAAACUUUAAGGACUCAAUUUACAAAAAAACCUGAGAUUAGUGCUGAGGAGAAGAUGGCUUUAGAAAAACAGUCUGAGAUCGACUUCGAGACCUUCUUACUUUUGAGAAGUCGAGAAAUGAAAAAGGGAGGCCUGCUUGUUCUUGGUGCGGCAUGUGAGACUGUAGACAAGAGCAAUGGAAAAAUCAAGUAUGUUGUUGAGACGUUCAUAACGUUACUCACUAAGGUUUGGCAGGAAUAUAGAGAAUCUGGGAAAAUCUCAAAAGAAUUUUUUUUAAUACAAAUUUGUCAGUUUGCCUUCGCAGCAUGUCUCAGCUGAGAAAACUAUUCGAUGACAAAAUGUCAGCAGUUUCCAAAUCCGGACUCUGUCUCUUGUCAGCUGAAACGGUUAUCAACCCUGACAUAUUUUACACAACAUGGAGGGAAAAGAAAGACAAGGAAGGGAUUGAUGACAGGGAGGAAUUUGCUCGGAUGUACACAUCGGCCCAUAGGAACUGGGGCAAUAGCACCUUUAUGAACGGCCUCUCAGACUCCCGCUCACAGGAGGAGAAGAAGAAGAUAGUGGAUGAGUUCUAUGACAGUGUUGAAAAACGAAUUUCAAAGCUGAGCCCCGAAGAAUUCAAGGAUGAUUUGCAAUUCACAUAUCUUGUGAUCAGAAAAGAAUAGUCAGCUUACAAGCCUCAAGAAGAGCAAGACUUUGUAUCAUGACCACAUACAUACAUAUAUGCAUAAUAACUAAUACUAUGUUAUCGAUUUUAAUUCUUUAAUGUCCCACAAUACUUGAAAUUUCAAGAAACACGUUUCAAUUUCCUUCAGGAACACCAUUUCACCCAAAUUGUUUAACUUUAGGAACGUGUUGCAGGAUAUGGAUUUGGCAUCUUGUGAUGUAAUUCCACUACUUGUGGCUGCCAAGGCUGAUUAUACUGCUUCCAACACGUUGGUCAUGCAUUCUAACUGGUGACUUCUCUAGUAUUUGACAACCUUCGUCAGUUAUUCAAAUGUGAAUCAACAUAUCGUAAGGAGCCUCCUGUCCGUUGAGAUUACAACUUUAAAAUAAUUAUGGAUACUGUCAAAGAAUCUGCCAACACAUUAUUCCCGAGAGCAGAGGAACCUGUCUUUCAGAGUGUGUUAGGUCAGUACGUGAUGUUGUCAUUGGGAGAAUGAAAUUGAAGAAUGGGAACCAGAACUUGAGUAAAUAUAUUCUGUUCAAACCAGAUGUCAUCCAAAGUCUGGUUUCCCUCCCUAUAUGAAAUGUUUGCAGUUUGUCCCACUGCAAAGGUCUCAAAUAACAUAACCAUUAUAUCUUAUGUCAUUACAAUUAAUAACAUUAGAGGAAAAUAUGAAGAGUGUAUAUCAUUUUAUUGAGGACAGAACAGGAUUACAUGCUUCUCAUCUUCUAAAACAGAGCAUUUAAUACAAAGAAUAUCAUUAAUAUGUACAGUACUUCAACGUAUCCGUAGUGUCUGAAAGCCUAAUGCAUCAUACCCACUUCCAGAUUGUUAAUAACUUCUAUGUCAUAUGUGCAAAUAUCAAUAGACAGAUUUGUCACCGACGUAUUGAGCAAACCAUAAGAAAGGCAGAGUAGCCCAAUUUGGGUAUGUUCGAUUGCAGGUUUGUUGCAGCGUAUCAUAUUAUUGAAAUGUCUUGUGGCAGUGAAACCUGAUUGAGUCAGUCCCGAAUAAGACUCACUAAUUGCGUAAUAUCUCUUUGUGUAUAUUCUCAUAUCUCACUUACAUAAGUACAAUUUCCUGAUUAAAUUUUCGAAAGCAUUUAUGGCGCACACAUCGUGUUUACAUAGUAAAGUUUUUUUCAGAAUGAGAGCUUUGCAGUGCGACGAAAGUGUGCUUACAUGCCUGUGUCAAAACAAUUUUUAAGAGUUGUAAUUAAUUCCAGAUAUGUGUGUGCGUUAAAAACUUUAAUUCCCCUCCCAUUAUAUGCAUAAUGCUCAUAUUCUGAUAAUUAUCCCCUGUUUCUAAAUACUAUAAUCUUUGUUUACCAUGAUUUAUUUAAAUUCCCCACUUAAGUACAAUACUGGUGCAAACAGUCUAAAUAUCUUUGUAAGCUUUUUGUAGAAUCAACUGUAAGUAUCAGCUCAUCUGCAAAUAAUUGAGGAAUAAUGAGUUACAUUUCCUCCAAUGCAUAUUACCAUUAACAAAACUGACUGCACAAACAUUGAAGAAGUACUAUCAGAACCCCUUUGGUGUAACCAUCAGUUUAAAAAACCGAUUUCAUUAUAAGAAAAUAUUUUAAGGGAAUUUACACUAUGAAAGAUCUCUGUAAUGAAGAUGAAAUAAUGCCCUUUAGUGAACUGAAAAGAAAAUAUUAAAUCAAAGGCACAAUUAUUGACUUUUACCAAGUUCUUUUAAAAACAUACCAAAAUCCUGGAAAGAUACUAUUAGAAAUAAUCACAUUAUCUUACAUAAUCAACAUUUAAAUACAACUUUGAUGGACUUACUUGUAGCGCCUAAAGGCUCCAGAUAUUUUUGUAUGCGUGUUUUAGUGCUGACAUUGAUUUAAUGUUGCUGAUAUGACUCAUGUCAUUUGAAUUGUUAGUGCUGUAAAUAAACAUAUGAGUAACAGUU
This is an RNA transcript of Haliotis rufescens (red abalone), 4157 nucleotides long. RefSeq lists it as uncharacterized. NCBI's taxonomy places the organism in Eukaryota, Metazoa, Mollusca, Gastropoda, Lepetellida, Haliotidae. The record is from RefSeq and is a predicted model, not a curated record. The transcript has 4 exons.